GAUGAACGCUAGCGGCAGGCCUAAUACAUGCAAGUCGAACGGGAUCUGAGGGUAGCUUGCUACCCGAUUUGAGAGUGGCGCACGGGUGCGUAACGCGUGAGCAACCUACCCAUAUCAGGGGGAUAGCCCGAAGAAAUUCGGAUUAACACCGCAUAAUAAUACGCUAACACAUAUUGAUGUAUUUAAAUAUUUAUAGGAUAUGGAUGGGCUCGCGUGACAUUAGCUAGUUGGUAAGGUAACGGCUUACCAAGGCGACGAUGUCUAGGGGCUCUGAGAGGAGAAUCCCCCACACUGGUACUGAGACGCGGACCAGACUCCUACGGGAGGCAGCAGUAAGGAAUAUUGGUCAAUGGGCGCAAGCCUGAACCAGCCAUGCCGCGUGCAGGAUGACUGCCCUAUGGGUUGUAAACUGCUUUUGUUAGGGAAUAAACCUUCUUACGUGUAAGGAGCUGAAUGUACCUAAAGAAUAAGGAUCGGCUAACUCCGUGCCAGCAGCCGCCGUAA
RNAcentral lists this ribosomal RNA (504 nucleotides) under uncultured bacterium. RNAcentral's name for it is "partial 16S ribosomal RNA". It matches the Rfam family "Bacterial small subunit ribosomal RNA", at positions 28 to 523 of the family's 1533-position model. The record is from RNAcentral.